CAAUGAACUUAAGAUUCAUAUAUAAAGAUAAUUUUUUUAUUAGAA
This 45-nucleotide transfer RNA is filed under the name Tibicinoides rubrovenosa. RNAcentral describes it as "Okanagana rubrovenosa partial tRNA-Leu". Lineage: Eukaryota; Metazoa; Arthropoda; Insecta; Hemiptera; Cicadidae. The record is from RNAcentral.